RNAcentral lists this ribosomal RNA (347 nucleotides) under Galeommatoidea sp. MN16650. RNAcentral describes it as "partial 16S ribosomal RNA". It matches the Rfam family "Bacterial large subunit ribosomal RNA", at positions 1862 to 2515 of the family's 2925-position model. Lineage: Eukaryota; Metazoa; Mollusca; Bivalvia; Galeommatida. The record is from RNAcentral.
CCCGGUGAUUAUUUAACGGCCGCAGUUAGGAGCUGUGCUAAGGUAGCGUAGUAAGUUGUCCUUUAAAUGGGGAAAGGAAUGAAUGGUUUGACGUGGAUGUAGCUGUCUCUAGUAAAUAAUGAGAAAUUUUCUUUUUGGUGAAAAGUCUAAAAUUUAAUUAAAAGACGAGAAGACCCUGUCGAGCUUGAAUAAAGGGUGUAGUGAUAUAUUUUAAAAGUUUGGUUGGGGCAACCUAGGAGUAAAAAGAGACUCCUUGAAGGGAUGAAGAUCCAAAAGUUUUGAAGGGAGAAAAAGCUACCGCCGGGAUAACAGCGUUAUCUUUUCUGAGAGAACUAAUUGAAGAAAAG